CACCGACUCAGCACAAGUAAAAAAGAAAUAUAAGAAACUCAUUGUGGACUCAAACAAAAAGAACCUAGUUUGUGGAACUCUUUUACUUUUAACUGAAAGUAACUUACCGUAUAGCUUUUAUGAAAGUUCUGCAUGUAAAAUUUUAUUGGGACCGCUUUACGAGGCUGCCAGUAUGACCCUGAACAGAAAGGCUAUUUCAGAUCUCAUUGACAAAAGCUCGAUACUGGCUAGAAAUUUUAUUAAAAACGAAAUGUCUUAAUAAAAUUUCUAGCCAGUACGCUACGCGAGGUAAUCGUCAGGUGUUAGGCAUAAAUGCUCAAUAUUAUCAUAAUAAUAAAGUUGUUGUUCGAAAUCUUGCAGUUCAAGAGAUACAUAGCCGCCAGACAAAAGAAAAUUUAAAAGACGUUAUAAUGAAUACUCUGGCCGAAUAUAGUGUAAAUAUGAAACAGGUUUACUCCAUUGCUCACGAUAAUGGCAGUAAUAUGGUGGCGACUGUUAAGGUAUUGAAGGAAAUGCUGGAAAAAUCUAGCUUGGAAAACCCCUCAAUCAACUUGCUAGUAGCUAAUGAAGAAGUGCGUUACAUUUUCGAGCUACCUGAUUAGAUGCAAAAUGCUGAACGUUUCGAGAGCAUUGAGAUAGACAAUUGUAGCACAACAUCAGAUGAUACUGUACAAUGUGACGAUUUCAGUGAAGAUAAGCAGGAGGAAACAAAAUUCAUUUUAUCAAACAUUGACGAUGGUGAAUGCUGGCGAAUGGAAGAAAUUCUCGACAGUACACGAUGCGCCGCUCAUACAGCACAAUUAGCUGUGUGGGAUGUUGUAAAACCCUAUCAAGAACGAAUCACAAAAAUACAAAAGAUUGUAGUCAAAUUGCGGCAUCGCGAGUACCAAAAAAUAUUUAAAAUCUACAAUGCUCAUCUGCCUCCUAUUGCUAACGAUACUAGAUGGAAUAGCAAAUAUCUGAUGUUGUCAUCUCUUCUCAAUCAUCGUCAGUUUUUCAAUUUGCUGAAAACUGUUUUUCCGGAGACAGAUCUUACAUCACAUUGGCCAUUUAUUGAGAAAUUCCGCGACGCAUUCGAACCAGCAUUCGUUCUUACGCUGUAGCUGCAGAAAAUUCAUUGUCCGCUAUCAGAUUUUUACAUAUACUGGCUUCAGUGCCAAGCACAACUGGAUAAAAUGAAAUCAAAUGUACUCGCAAAGCGUUUAUUGGCAGCAUUUAAAACUUACACUGAGCCAAAUUUUCUUUUUCACAUUAUAUGAUAUUCUAAUGAUUUUGCACUAUUAGCAUUUCCAAUAAUAGUUACAAGAUGUGUUCAACAUCAUGUCAAAUAUAUGAGAUAUUCUUAUGAAACAUAAAACUCUUCUUAACAUUAUUGUUACAGGAUUUCCAUAUAACGAAUGAAAUUUCCAGUCUGAGUCAAAUUUAUUGGCGCGUCUUAUAACCUUUACUAGAUAUCCGCACAACAUACAUACACAACUUACACAAUUAUAAAGCGCAUAUUAUAUUCACUUCGAAUUUAUUUAGAUAGGUU
Long non-coding RNA from Malaya genurostris, 1531 nucleotides. RefSeq lists it as uncharacterized. The record is from RefSeq and is a predicted model, not a curated record. Lineage: Eukaryota; Metazoa; Arthropoda; Insecta; Diptera; Culicidae. The transcript is spliced from 3 exons.